Molecule: unclassified non-coding RNA, 214 nt
Filed under: Hevea brasiliensis (rubber tree)
Lineage: Eukaryota; Viridiplantae; Streptophyta; Magnoliopsida; Malpighiales; Euphorbiaceae
Source: RNAcentral
GUUUUGGGUUAUGGAGGGGUUUAAUGCGGGAGAGAAGGGUUUUAGACAUAUGAAUUAGAAAAUGGUUAACUUGGUGUCAUCUCCUGGAUGAAAGCUCAGUCCAGGAGAAACAGAUGAAACAAGAUUGAUUCAUUGCAAGAUUGAUUCAUUGCGGCUUUCGGAAACUUCACUGUCUCUCAAAACCUGAGUGUCACAAAACCCCAGAGAGCUUCAA